CGGCUCUGGAGAAUCCCAUUGAUUGGGUACCGAAGGUGAAAGGCGGCGUGGCCGCUGAAUCUCUCAGGUAAAAGGACAGAGUGA
RNAcentral lists this non-coding RNA (84 nucleotides) under uncultured Dysosmobacter sp. Its description in RNAcentral is "Glycine riboswitch". It matches the Rfam family "Glycine riboswitch aptamer", at positions 9 to 86 of the family's 94-position model. From Rfam's summary of the family: This family represents the bacterial glycine riboswitch. Lineage: Bacteria; Bacillati; Bacillota; Clostridia; Eubacteriales; Oscillospiraceae. The record is from RNAcentral.